UGGAAUUCUUACAAAGGAAGAGAUCAUAGUAACUUUGUCUUUGGAAUGUAAAUGUACAAACAGCUGUCUAAAACAUUAAAUUUAAACACUAGGAUGUAAACACUACAUAUGGUGUAAUGCAAUGAGAUCUAAGAGACCAUGAAGCCUGUAUCCUAGCUUGAACUGGCCCAGAAAGUUUAAGGUGGUACCCAACACUUUCACUAAAAUUAAUUUGGCUCGUUUAAUUUUCAUAAAAUUUUGCCAAAGUAUUUAUUUUGACACUUUAACAAAAAUAUAAAAAUUUUAAAAAUUUUGAACUAACCGUUUUGUCAGAAAAAUUACACUGGUUAUAUAGCAAUUUGACAAACACCAAUUUUGAUCAUUGAGAAGCUUAAUAUUCCCUUUACAACACAACGUAAUUAAAACGUUUGGCUGACUUUACAGAGUUAUCUCCCUGUAUUGUUAGGUACCACCUUAAGUUAUCUACUGAAAAUGAUGAGAGCAGAUUCUAUGGAGAACUCACGUUUAAUCAAAAGCUUUUUUAGAAAAUCAGCGUACCCUCUUUUCCUACCCCAUUUCAUUACAAAGUUAAGUGUGUUUCUUUCUUUUUUCUUGAUAUCAGUACAUUUUAUACUACUGCCAUACAAAUGAUUAUGAUUUGUAAUAUUUAACUUAUAAAUUGUAUAAUUCUACUACAAAUACUUCAUAUGCUUCCUGAAUAACAUAAUGAAAAUUGCAUAGUUUUUACAUAUGAUUUUUCUUAGUUAUUAAUUAGCGUCAAUGUGUUGCAAUAUGGAAUAUUUUUACCAAUAAUUUCCCAUUAAAAUAAAAACAUAUACUCUACAUGUAAAUUAAAUUGUAUAUAUUCACUC
This 851-nucleotide long non-coding RNA is filed under the name Mytilus galloprovincialis (Mediterranean mussel). Lineage: Eukaryota; Metazoa; Mollusca; Bivalvia; Mytilida; Mytilidae. The record is from RNAcentral.